RNAcentral lists this transfer-messenger RNA (399 nucleotides) under Anaerolineaceae. RNAcentral describes it as "UBA6170 sp002840755 Standard tmRNA". It matches the Rfam family "transfer-messenger RNA". From Rfam's summary of the family: Bacterial tmRNA, also known as 10Sa RNA or SsrA, is named for its dual tRNA and mRNA-like properties. Lineage: Bacteria; Bacillati; Chloroflexota; Anaerolineae; Anaerolineales. RNAcentral also lists the same sequence under 1 other name. The record is from RNAcentral.
GGGGAUGACAGGCUUCGACGGAGGAGGCUGAUCCCGGACUGCGAGUCGAGAGGUACCGACCUCGAAAAAUCAGUACAAAAAACAAGUGCCAAUCGCACAAACACUUUUGCUGCCAUGCCCCUCGCUGCAUAGCGAGUGCCUGGUGGUAAAAUGGUUCUUUCGAGAACCACGUCCAUCUACCCCGUUCCCUACCCGGUGGUAGCCUGGGCGCCAUAAAGUUAGGGUGCCGUAUUCUUUGCUGCGACGAAUACGAAAGAGGGCUUUAGGGUCCAAGCAGCUGGCUAAAAAUCAGUAUUGUUGAUUGUCUGGUUUUUCGGCGAAAUGAUCAAUCAACUACACUCGUAGAUGUGCGGCGAUCUAUUUUUUCGGACGCGGGUUCAAUUCCCGCCAUCUCCACAA